CGCGGCCUAUCAGCUUGUUGGUGGGGUGACGGCCUACCAAGGCGACGACGGGUAGCCGGCCUGAGAGGGUGUCCGGCCACACUGGGACUGAGAUACGGCCCAGACUCCUACGGGAGGCAGCAGUGGGGAAUAUUGCACAAUGGGCGCAAGCCUGAUGCAGCGACGCCGCGUGGGGGAUGACGGCCUUCGGGUUGUAAACCUCUUUCACCAUCGACGAAGGUCCGGGGUUUCUCGGAUUGACGGUAGGUGGAGAAGAAGCACCGGCCAACUACGUGCCAGCAGCCGCGGUAAUACGUAGGGUGCGAGCGUUGUCCGGAAUUACUGGGCGUAAAGAGCUCGUAGGUGGUUUGUCGCGUUGUUCGUGAAAUCUCACGGCUUAACUGUGAGCGUGCGGGCGAUACGGGCAGACUGGAGUACUGCAGGGGAGACUGGAAUUCCUGGUGUAGCGGUGGAAUGCGCAGAUAUCAGGAGGAACACCGGUGGCGAAGGCGGGUCUCAGGGCAGUAACUGACGCUGAGGAGCGAAAGCGUGGGGAGCGAACAGGAUUAGAUACCCUGGUAGUCCACGCCGUAAACGGUGGGUACUAGGUGU
RNAcentral lists this ribosomal RNA (591 nucleotides) under uncultured bacterium. RNAcentral's name for it is "bacterial SSU rRNA". It matches the Rfam family "Bacterial small subunit ribosomal RNA", at positions 232 to 823 of the family's 1533-position model. The record is from RNAcentral.